Molecule: ribosomal RNA, 253 nt
Filed under: uncultured bacterium
Lineage: Bacteria
Description: partial 16S ribosomal RNA
Rfam family: Bacterial small subunit ribosomal RNA
Source: RNAcentral
UACGGAGGGUGCAAACGUUGCUCGGAAUCAUUGGGCGUAAAGCGCACGUAGGCGGCCUGUUAAGUUGGGUGUGAAAGCCCAAGGCUCAACCUUGGAAGUGCAUUCAAAACUGGCGGGCUUGAAUAUGGACGAGGGUCGCGGAAUUCCCGGUGUAGAGGUGAAAUUCGUAGAUAUCGGGAGGAAGACCAGUGGCGAAGGCGGGUCUCUGGACAGUUCCUGACGCUGAGGCACGAAGGCCAGGGGAGCAAACGGG